This is a non-coding RNA of Pongo abelii (Sumatran orangutan), 296 nucleotides long. The record is from Rfam. Lineage: Eukaryota; Metazoa; Chordata; Mammalia; Primates; Hominidae.
GUGGGGCUCAACGGAGCAGGCCUGUAGUCCCAGCUCCUAGAGAGGCUGAGACAAGAGGGUUGCAUGAUCCCAGGAGUUCUAGGCUGCAGUGUGCUAUUCCAAUUUGGUGUCCACACUAAGUUCAGCAUCAAUACGGUGACCUUCUGGGAGCAGAGGACCAGCGAAUUGCCUAUGGAGGGGUGAAUUGGUCCAGGGUAGAAAUAGAGCAAGUCAAAACUCUCGUGCUUGAAAUGGGAUUACUCCUACGAAUGGCCACUGCAUUCCAGCCUGGACAAUAUAGCAAGACCUCAUCUCUU